CGCAGCAGUCGCGAAAAUUUCACACUGGGGGCAACCCCGAGAGGGAAUUCCUAGUGCUAGGACAUUUGUUUAGCUUUUCUCUAGCGUAGAUAACUAGAGGAAUAAGGGCUGGGUAAGACGGGUGCCAGCCGCCGCGGUAAUACCUGCAGCCCAAGUGGUGGUCGAUUUUAUUGAGUCUAAAGCGUUCGUAGCCGGUUUGAUAAAUCCUUGGGUAAAUCGGGAAGCUUAACUUUCCGACUUCCGAGGAGACUGUCAAACUUGGGACCGGGAGAGGCUAGAGGUACUUCUGGGGUAGGGGUAAAAUCCUGUAAUCCUAGAAGGACCACCGGUGGCGAAGGCGUCUAGCUAGAACGGAUCCGACGGUGAGGGACGAAGCCCUGGGUCGCAAACGGGAUUAGAUACCCCGGUAGUCCAGGGUGUAAACGCUGCCGACUUGGUGUUGGAGGCCCUUCGGGGGCAUUCAGUGCCGGAAAGAAGUUGUUAAGUCAGCCACUUGGGGAGUACAUCCGCAAGGAUGAAACUUAAAGG
This 528-nucleotide ribosomal RNA is filed under the name Methanomassiliicoccaceae archaeon COG-P3. RNAcentral's name for it is "bacterial SSU rRNA". It matches the Rfam family "Archaeal small subunit ribosomal RNA", at positions 331 to 862 of the family's 1478-position model. The record is from RNAcentral. Lineage: Archaea; Methanobacteriati; Thermoplasmatota; Thermoplasmata; Methanomassiliicoccales; Methanomassiliicoccaceae.